GAUGAACGCUGGCGGCGUGCCUAACACAUGCAAGUCGAGCGAUUCUCUUCGGAGAAGAGCGGCGGACGGGUGAGUAACGCGUGGGUAACCUGCCCUGUACACACGGAUAACAUACCGAAAGGUAUGCUAAUACGGGAUAACAUAAGAGAGUCGCAUGGCUUUCUUAUCAAAGCUCCGGCGGUACAGGAUGGACCCGCGUCUGAUUAGCUAGUUGGUGAGGUAAUGGCUCACCAAGGCGACGAUCAGUAGCCGACCUGAGAGGGUGAUCGGCCACAUUGGAACUGAGACACGGUCCAAACUCCUACGGGAGGCAGCAGUGGGGAAUAUUGCACAAUGGGCGAAAGCCUGAUGCAGCAACGCCGCGUGAGCGAUGAAGGCCUUCGGGUCGUAAAGCUCUGUCCUCAAGGAAGAUAAUGACGGUACUUGAGGAGGAAGCCCCGGCUAACUACGUGCCAGCAGCCGCCGUAAUAC
This 471-nucleotide ribosomal RNA is filed under the name uncultured bacterium. Its description in RNAcentral is "bacterial SSU rRNA". It matches the Rfam family "Bacterial small subunit ribosomal RNA", at positions 28 to 526 of the family's 1533-position model. The record is from RNAcentral.